UACGAAGGGGGCUAGCGUUGUUCGGAAUUACUGGGCGUAAAGCGCACGCAGGCGGAUUUAUAAGUCAGGGGUGAAAUCCCGGGGCUCAACCUCGGAAUUGCCCUUGAUACUGUCUAUCUUGAGUCCGGGAGAGGUGAGUGGAAUUCCUAGUGUAGAGGUGAAAUUCGUAGAUAUUAGGAAGAACACCAGUGGCGAAGGCGGCUCACUGGUCCGGUACUGACGCUGAGGUGCGAAAGCGUCGGGAGCAAACAGG
RNAcentral lists this ribosomal RNA (253 nucleotides) under uncultured bacterium. RNAcentral's name for it is "partial 16S ribosomal RNA". It matches the Rfam family "Bacterial small subunit ribosomal RNA", at positions 524 to 776 of the family's 1533-position model. The record is from RNAcentral.